RNAcentral lists this ribosomal RNA (380 nucleotides) under uncultured crenarchaeote. RNAcentral's name for it is "bacterial SSU rRNA". It matches the Rfam family "Archaeal small subunit ribosomal RNA", at positions 471 to 851 of the family's 1478-position model. RNAcentral also lists the same sequence under 1 other name. The record is from RNAcentral. Lineage: Archaea; Thermoproteati; Thermoproteota.
UAAUACCAGCUCCCCGAGUGGUCGGGACGAUUAUUGGGCCUAAAGCAUCCGUAGCCGGUUCUGUAGGUCUUAUGUUAAAAUCAAUUGCUUAACAAUUGAACUGCAUGAGAUACCACAAAACUAGGAGGCGGGAGAGGUGGACGGUAUUCCACGGGUAGGGGUAAAAUCCUCUGAACCGUGGAGGACCACCAGUGGCGAAGGCGGUCCACCAGAACGCGCUCGACGGUGAGGGAUGAAAGCUGGGGUAGCGAACCGGAUUAGAUACCCGGGUAGUCCCAGCUGUAAACGAUGCAAGCUAGGUGAUGCAUUAGCCACGUGUUAAUGCAGUGCCGCAGGGAAGCCGUUAAGCUUGCCGCCUGGGGAGUACGGUCGCAAGGCUG